RNA transcript from Vidua chalybeata, 6593 nucleotides. It is a transcript of the gene named MCF.2 cell line derived transforming sequence, with no coding region annotated. NCBI's taxonomy places the organism in Eukaryota, Metazoa, Chordata, Aves, Passeriformes, Viduidae. The record is from RefSeq and is a predicted model, not a curated record. The transcript is spliced from 31 exons.
GCCCCGGGCGGGCCCCCGCCGGGGGGCACCUCGGCGGGGGACAUGGAGCGCUACUACCGCCUGCUCCGCGCCGCCGCGCUGCUGGAGGCCGCCGCCGAAACUGCAAUACCCAUCUGUGCAAAGGACAUCAGUGAUGAUCUGAUGAAGGAGUUUGCUUUUCUGUCUGGUGGAAGGGGGAAGGACAAGGCUUGGAUUAUCACCCUCCCCGACAACGCUGGCUUCAACGAGGUGCCCGAGGAGAGCGUGUCUAAAGUGCUGACGUACCUGACGUCAGUCCCGAGUCAGCAUGAGUCUGACACUAAAUUUAUCCUGAUCCUGGAUAGAAGACUGGACACAUGGACAUCAGUCAAAACGACUCUCCAAAAAAUAGCAGCGUCCUUCCCAGGCAAUCUGCACUUGGUGAUGGUUCUGCGUCCCACGGGGUUUUUCCAGCGCACCUUCACUGACAUUGGCUUUCGCUUCAGCCAGGAGGAUUUCCUGCUCAAGUUACCGGUGGUGAUGCUCAGCUCCGUCAGUGACCUGCUGACCUACAUCGAUGAGCAGCAGCUGACCCCGGAGCUCGGGGGCACCCUGGAGUACUGCCACAGCGAGUGGGUCAUCUUCAGGACGGCCAUCGAGAGCUUUGCCCUGACUGUGAAGGAGAUUGCCCAGAUGUUGCAGUGCUUUGGCACGGAGCUGGCGGAGGCGGAGCUGCCGGAGGACAUGUACUCCAUCGAGCGCAUCCUGGCGCUGCGCACCGAGAGGUACUGCCAGCUCAAGGAAGAUAUUACAGCAGUCACAAAGGAGGGAAACCUGCUUUUGAGCAGUUUUGAAGAGCCAGACUCAGGGGAAUGCAGUCAGGACCAGCAGCAAGAGAGGCCUGGGGACUGGGAGACAGUGAAUCGGUUGCUUGGUCAGCUGCGUGAGAUGGAGACUGCUUUUGAUGGCUUCUGGGAAAAGCACCAGUUAAAAAUGGAACAAUAUUUACAACUGUGGAAGUUUGAGCAAAGUUUUCAAGAGGUCAAGAAUGCCAUUGAAUUUUUAAUGGGUCAGCAAGCGGAGCUGCCCGACACGGGCGACAGCGUCCCCCAGGUGAAACAGAGGCUCAAGGACUUGGAUCAUUUCGAUGGCAUGGCUCAGGACCUGAUAGGGAAGGCCCAGGUGGUGAUACUGCACGGGCACCAGCUGGCAGCCAACCAUCACUACGCCCUCAACCUGAUCUGCCAGCAGUGCAACGAGCUGCGGCACCACUCCGACCUCCUGGCUGAGGACAUCAAGAGGAAGCAGGUGCGCCUGCAGAAGACCUUGGACCUCCACACCCGCCUUCAGCAGGCUCUGCAGUGCUGUGAUGAAGGUGCCUACCUGCUCGCCAACCAGCAGAUGGACAAGUGCCAGUCUAAAGAAGGCGCUCAGAAAGCACUCCAGGACAUUGAAAGAUUUCUUGAAAGCUCUUCAUCCUACUUAAACUAUGAUCCCCAAGCCCUGCACUGCGAUUUUGAGUCAGUCUUAACGUCUGAGCUGAAGUGCCAGAUCCAGUCGGUGCAGGUGAAGCUGGACAACGUCCGCAGCAUGUUUGAGAACAGGCAGUCCUGCUUCAAGAAGCUGCUGGACAAACACGUGCGGCCCGUCCAGCUGGUGGCUCCUCGGCCAGAAAACCCUCCCCGGGCAAAGUCACCCUUAUUCUCUCCUAAACAUGGUGUAGAUUUUAAUUCCAGUUUGAAAUUUUCAUUUGAUCUCUCUCUUCCUGGGAAGAAAACUUCAAGAAAAACUCCAAGUUCUCGCAAGAUCGAAGUCAUGCACGACUACCAGGAGAAGAGGAAUUCCCUGCAGUACUUUAUUUCAGACAGUGACGACAGCUUGGAUAUUCUGAAGGGCCAUGUCAUCAAUGAGCUUAUAGAAACAGAGAGAGUGUAUGUGGAGGAGCUCUUCACUGUUCUGACGGGCUACAGGGCUGAGAUGGAUAAUCCUGCCAUGCUCAUCCUCCUGCCCCCCGUGCUGAGGAACAGGAAGGACGUUCUCUUCGGAAACAUGCCCGAGAUCUAUGACUUCCACAACAAAAUUUUCCUGCACAGUCUGGAAAACUGCCUGGGAGCACCCGAGAGAGUGGGAUGUUGUUUCCUGGACAGGCGGGAGGAUUUCCAGAUGUAUGAGAAGUACUGCCAGAACAAGCCCCGCUCCGAGUCCCUGUGGAGGCAGUGCUCCGAAAGCUCCUUCUUCCAGGAAUGCCAAAGAAAAUUAGAGCACAAGCUGGGGCUGGAUUCCUAUCUGCUCAAACCAGUGCAGCGCCUGACGAAGUACCAGUUACUCCUGAAGGAGCUGCUGAAGUACAGCACGAGCUGUGAUGGAGUUCAGGAACUUCAAGAAGCUCUGGUUGCAAUGUUGGAUUUGCUGAAGUCAGUCAACGACUCCAUGCAUCAGAUUUCAAUCACAGGAUAUGAUGGUGACCUGAGCGAGCUGGGGAAGGUGUUGAUGCAGGGAUCUUUCAGUGUUUGGGCAGGACACCGAAAAGGGCCAACAAAAAUGAAGGACCUGGCCAGGUUCAAGCCCAUGCAGAGGCACCUGUUUCUCUAUGAGAAAGCCUUGGUCUUCUGCAAGAAGCGAGAGGAGCACGGCGAUGGAUACGACAAAACCUCAUCGUACAGCUUUAAGCACUUCCUGAAAAUGAAUGCAGUUGGGAUAACUGAGAAUGUGAAGGGAGAUCAUCGGAAAUUUGAGAUCUGGUACAGUGGGAGAGAAGAGGUGUAUGUGGUGCAGGCCCAAACAGUAGAUCUGAAGAUGGCAUGGUUGAAUGAAAUAAGAAAAAUUUUGUUUAAGCAGCAAGAGCUUAUAAAAGCAGGGGAGAAGCAGCAGCCUGGCUCGUGCUCGGAGCAGCUCCCGCUCUCCUCCCAGCUGGGGGACAGGAAGCAGCAGAGAGCCUCCAUCAGCUCGGAAGAGAACGACUCGGAGCGCACCAGCCCGGUGAUGCUGGACAGCGGGCCGCUGUCCCCCCAGAAACAGCCCCACAGAAGCUGGCCAGGAACGUCGCAGUCCCUGGAGAUCUGCGAGGGGCUGGAGGAGUGGUCGGGGCAGCAGUACCUCUCCAACUGCUCGGACACGGAGGAGGAGGAGAACCAGCUGUCUCCAGGAAAAUACAAAGCCCUUGCAGACUGCAAGAGGAGAGGAUCAGAGGACCUGCUGGUGAAAAAUGGGGAUGAAAUUCAGCUCUUGCAUGAAGAUGGUGAGGGACAGUGGUUGGUGAAAAACCUAAACAGAAGAAAAGAAGGCUGGAUUCCUGUCCACAGUCUGCAGAUUGUAGUCGGUGACUGCAGAUUUCGGAAUGCCAAAGUCGCAGUGUCACUGCUCCAUGUGUUGCCUCAUCACCAUGCUGUCCUCUGCAAAUGGGAGACCAGGGCUGGAGAUGGAACAGCUCAGGAAGCCCACAUUGACUUAGUCCAUUAAAAAAAAAAAAAUUAAAAAUUACUAGCUAUGACUGUAUGAAGCAAAUCUUGCAAGGAGAUUUCUCUUUAAAUACUUCUUUCUGUCAGAAUCUAUUUUUUUUAUUAAUGUGAAGGAAGCCAUCCGAAAGGCUUAAAGUUCCAGUCAGCUCUUGGUGGUUUUUGGUAUAUUUCAGUGAAGUCCUUCCUAUACAGGAAGGUAUUUUUUUAUCCCCUUUGUUGCAGGGCAGUCAAAUCUCCCAGGCUGAAGUUUGCUGAUUUUCUGUAAGGGGUAGUUUGCUGACCAGUGUUCAGAGUGUACUGGCACCCUGUUUUCAAGAUGCAGUUAUGGCUCCCCUGACCUUCUCUCCAUGUACAGCUACCCCAUCUCACCAGGUCCUCUGCAGAAGGGUUUUCCAGCUGUGAAUGCAUCUCAAAAAAAGGUGCUGGGAAACUCUGAACCCUGGUUUGCAUUGUCAGUGGUCAUAUCCCCAGAAACCUAGAGACUGUCAGCUCUGGACUGGCUUACAAAGCUGCUGAGUACAAACUGAGGGCAAUUCCCCGGGGUGAAGCCACAGAAAAUGCCUCCUGUGAGUCCCACACCACUGCCCAGCUACUCCAGAGCCGUGUCCCAGGCUCUGAGAGCACUGGGGCUCUGCUUUCCCUGCGAAGGUAGCUGUUCUCUCUGCUGCUUCUGAUGCUGCCUGCAGUCCCAAGGCAUGGUUCUGAUCUUACACACGCUCCAGGAAACACUGGGGGAUCAUGUAGGAUGUUCUCUUGCUGUUUCCUAGAGCUAUUCCUAGAGCUUUUCAGCAGCGCGUCCCUAGAGCCAUAAGCAACUUGCAGUCUGAAAAUCGAUCUUCACACAGAACUCGUGCACUCAGCAAUUGCCUUUCCCCUGGGGCUGGUCACUUCACCCCGCAGGUGACCGCCGACUCCUUGGCAGUGGCCGGGACUGGGCUCUCUCCUGCUUCCUCAGAAGAUGGAGCUCUUGCUCCAGCACAGCAGAGGAGAACGAGGCAGCCGAGCAGGGCCAGGAGGGAGCCUCGGAUCCCUCAGGACUGUGAGCUGCUCGUGCUGAAGUGCUGGUUUGCAUGUCGGCAGUGUAGGCUUGACUGACACGCUGUGGGAUCCCCGAGAGCUUUGGAGAGUGUUGGAGUCGCUUCAGUGCUGGGGAGAGGCAGUUCUGGCACUCUGUGGGGGCAGUGCCUGUCUUACUGCUCAGCUCCAGGUUCCCCUAAUUAAAACUCUGUGUCCAGUCACACAGUUUCAUAGCAGAAUUCGUACAAAUCUGGGCUUUGGGAUUUUUUUCAGGGCAAAGCCUUUAGCUGAAUAGAAUAAAUCCCUUACUUUCACGUUUCUCCUUAGAGUUAUCCUGUGGCCCACCACAGGAUGGCUGCUACCUGCAUGCCUACAAGCUGUUCCUCCCCCCUCCUGCUAAUUAUUCCAGUGUUGAGCCAAUACAGAUCAUAAUGAACUUACAGGGAACUUUUUGCUGUCCCUUUUAAGUUAGCAGAGGGGUAUUUGGUAAAUGCUUCACUUCCCAGCCAUUCCAGCUUUGCAAAUCCACGGUCCUCUUGUAAAUCUUGGCCUGGAUAUAAGCCAUGAGGUUCUCUGGGAGGAAGGUGGCUGGCUUGGAGAUCAUUUUGAAAAUGAAUUUUCCUUCUGGUGUGCCUCUAGCUGUAAGUCCUGAGAUUAGUCCUUGCUGCUUUCUUCCAGACAGAUUUAUUCUCUCUGCUGUGCAGACCCAGGGUGGAUUUUUUUUUUUUUAAUGUGCACGAUGAAGGAGCAGUUUUGUAUUGCAGGUGGUAACAUGCAGAGCUCAAAAUGAAAAAUAUCUGGAGAGAACUGUGCUCAGAAAGGGCAAUACUCAGAAUGGAACUACUGCUGAGGCUCACCCAUGUGUUGGUAGUUUCUGCUGCCUCGCAAGUGGUCAGGCAUUGCCUGAUUAACUGACUUGGCUUUUCCAUGAAUUAACACGGAGAUGCAAGAUUCCCUCUUCAUUUCAGGGAAGGCUGGGGCUCCAGCAUUACAAUCCCAACUCCUCUUCUGCACUGGAGCAGGAGGCAAACCAUUUCUGCAUGUCCCUUGGUGGCCAGUGCGCCAGGGAUCACACUGUGCAGCACUGGCAGGUCUGUGCCAGGCAAGAGAAGGGAUCUCACCUCUCAGGUGCACUGCAGCACCCACGGCAGGGCUUGGAACCAGAUUCCUUUUGGAGUCUCUUCCUACCCAAGCCAUUCUGGUGAUCUAAGGUGGGCACAGGCUCCUGUUCCACAUGCCAGACCCUCUCCUCGUUUAUUUAACAUCCUGCUUGCCAAAUCCUCUCUUCCAAGCCUUAGGGGGAUCCCCUGUGCCCACUCUCCAUGCCAUGAAGCUGAGCAGAGGUUUCCACCCCUGGCAGUGCCUGAAGGACUGAGCUUGCAUGUCCUGUGUCCCCUGGACAGGGCACUGGCAUUGUCCUGUGCCCCCUGGACAGUCACUGGCAUUGUCCUGUGCCCCCUGGACAGUCACUGGCAUUGUCCUGUGCCCCCUGGACAGUCACUGGCAUUGUCCUGUGUCCCUUGGACAGUCACUGGCAUUGUCCUGUGCCCCUUGGACAGGGAACUGGGAUUGUCCUGUGUCCCUGGACAGUCACUGGCAUUGUCCUGUGCCCCUUGGACAGGGAACUGGGAUUGUCCUGUGUCCCUGGACAGUCACUGGCAUUGUCCUGUGUCCCUUGGACAGUCACUGGGAUUGUCCUGUGCCCCUGGACAGUCACUGGCAUUGUCCUGUGCCCCUUGGACAGGGAACUGGGAUUGUCCUGUGUCCCCUGGACAGUCACUGGCAUUGUCCUGUGCCCCCUGGACAGUCACUGGGAUUGUCCUGUGCCCCUUGGACAGUCACUGGGAUUGUCCUGUGCCCCUUGGACAGUCACUGGGAUUGUCCUGUGUCCCUGGACAGUCACUGGCAUUGUCCUGUGCCCCCUGGACAGUCACUGGGAUUGUCCUGUGCCCCCUGGACAGUCACUGGGAUUGUCCUGUGCCCCUUGGACAGUCACUGGGAUUGUCCUGUGCCCCCUGGAGCAUCCCUGGGGCUGCCUGGCCAGGGUGUUUGUGUGGCUGGAGCUUUGGCAGGCUGCUGGAGGCACGCUGGCUGAAAGGUGCAGGCUUUGCCCACGCCCUGGUCCCGCAGGUGCCCCGCAGGUGCCCCGCUGGCACUGCA